This is a long non-coding RNA of Vulpes vulpes (red fox), 3231 nucleotides long. NCBI's taxonomy places the organism in Eukaryota, Metazoa, Chordata, Mammalia, Carnivora, Canidae. The record is from Ensembl.
UCGGGAGCAAAGCCAGGCUCCGGGCUGGGCGGGGGGGAGGGGGGCGGCAGGAUGGUCUCCCUGGGGGGCCUGGAGCCAGCCAGCCAGGCGCUGGUAGUUUACAGCUGUUCUCACGAUGCAGGGGGCAGAAUCCAAGGCUUUCCCAGCCACUGAAGAGGGGCAUCUCCAUCUGUGCCCGUGUCCCUGUGAUGCCACCAGCUCUGUCUGCGACAGGAGCUGCCAAGGGAGGAGAAACCUUCUGUCAUCGUCCUGGGGCAAGGAACAGCCCUCCUGCCACACUCACUGCCUGGAAACCCUUCUCCUGCUUCACAGAAACAGGACCCAGUCUUGCUUGAAGCUGUCCACCCCCGCCAGGCCACAAAAAGCCUCAAAUGUCACAGGGCCACCAACUGCCACAAAGCCUCCGCUGCUCAGAGCGUGGGAGCCCCGAGAAUCAGAAGCCGCUCAGGGGUUCACUGUCAGAGUGUUUGUCCUCCGACUCGCGCACCGGCCCCGUAUGUGGUCCUGCUGCCCUCUGGCCCUUUGGAGCCCAUGUCUACACGGGUCUGCGGAUGCCUGCGGGAGCACCAGAAGUCCUUGCUGAGUUCGGCUGGGGACUCUGAGGCAGCCGAGGUGAGCUGCUGGCCGGGAAAUCCUCAGUGACCCAGUGGAGACACUGCUCCUUUUCUAGGCUGGAGUGGAGGCCACAGGACAGUGAGCCGAGGCCCCACACUACACUUUGGCUUCGGUGUAGCCCUGGUGCUUGCCGGUGGAGGCUGGCUUCUGGCCCGGGCUUGGAUCAACGCGGCCGUGGCCCUGCCUGGGCCUGGCCAAUGCCCUCCUCAGCUGUCAGAAGUGAGGGCUCCUCGGGACAGACACGGAGCCCCGCACACCCCCUCCCGGAAUGCUGGGAAGACUUUUCACAGCCAGAGUUGCCAGAGCAGCCUGAGCGCCUUGGCCACCUUGGGAGGAGGUGCCCCAACUUGCCUAGAGCCUCCGUUUCCCAUCCGUGAGGUAGGAAUCACACCAGCUGUUGACUUCUCAGGAGGGGCAGGUGUAGCUGUGCCUGGCAGAAAGGCAACGGCCGGGUGGGUGAGUGGCAGCCACAUGGCCAGGGCCAGAGCUGUGGCCACCUAGAGGAUGGGCCACCUUUUCCUAAUGUGCACAAAGGCGCCCUGCGGGCCAGUGGUAGCUCUGGGAUUCCAGGUCAUGCUGAACCACUAGCUUCAUCGUUACAGAUCUUCACGCUCUGGAUGAGGCAGGCAGGUUCAGAAAGAGGGAGUCAUCCGACGUGGUGCCAGGAAGGCUUCCUGGAGGAGGGAGGGCUUGAGCUGCGCCUCGCAGGGUCCGAAGCAACGUUGACCACCACGGGCCAAGCCUGGACAACUGACUUCCCCCAGACAGACUGUGACCGCUCUGUGCCUUUCCCAGCAGAGCUGUUUACUUUCCUACUUCUGUAUUUUGGUUCCUGCUGACUCUUCUGUGACAUAAAUGCAAAUGAGACAACAAGCACAACAACUUCAAAGCCAAGGAAGCCUGCGGAGGGGGCUGUCCCCACGGGACCCUGCUGGGCAGGGAAGCUGGGCAACGGGAUGGCCCCCUCCCUCAGUGCCCCCCCCACCCCGGGCUCGGCUCAGCUGGGUGAGGAGGCCUUCAAAGGGCCCCAAGGCCUCUGAGCGACCAGCAGGAGAGGGCAGCUGCGGGCAGAGUUUUGCGCUAAUCGACGAGAACUUCUAGCAUGGCUCACGGCUGGAUUUUCCACAUAAUUUUUUUUUCUUUUACCACUGGGAACUUAAUUCAAAGGUUUUCCUGUGCGGAGCUCCAGAAUAUAAAAUGGAAGCAGGAAUGACCCGGAGCUUACUCCCUAUCCACUUUUUGGACACCUUCCUGAAACACUUCUUGGGCCACCAGUAGUUUGAAAACUCCUGAGCCCCAGGAUGCGACCCAAAUGUUUAAAGCUCUUGCCAACUUUCCCUUCUGCCUGCCCAACACCUCUGCAGCCCCACGUGUGGCCACACCAGGUACUCCCGUUCCUGGCCUUCACAGGUUUUCACACUGUCUGCUUUGUCAUCCCAAAUGCUAAUCUCUCUCCCUUUCUUCCUUCCUCCCUCCCAUUUUUCUCCUGGAAAACUCCUACUCAUCCUUCACGACCCCAGCUAGGAUACCACUUUGUCAGAGAAGCUUUUAUCUUGAUCUCCCUCCACCAGCCACUCACAGAUGUAGACAAAGUGGCCCUUUCUUCCCCUCCCUUUGCUUCGUCCCCAGCCCAGCAUCAAAGUAUUCCUUCUACUGUGUUUGAAGUACCUGAUUCCCUGUUUGUCCCCAUAAGUGUCUAAUCUCCUUCAGAGCCUGCUGUAUUUUCACCUCUGCCUUCCCUAGGGCUGGGAACCCAUCUGCCCCAUAUGGGUGACUGCUCAGUGGUGUCAGGAGGCAGCCACAGGGGCCUCAGCUUACUGGCCUGAAGGUGGGAUUUGGGCCACUUGACGGUGUUUGGAGGUCCAGCUCAGGGCCACCCCUAAGGCCACACAAAGUGGUUGAGCCUGCAUCAUCGCUAAUAUCUGCAUGCAGAGGGAGGCCCAGAGGAUGGAGGAACCCUGGGCUCCCUCGAUCUUUCUGGUGUGGCCUUGGAGAUCCAGGUUUAUAGGCCUUGAGCAGUGUAAGGCUCUUCAUCUUAGCUCUGGCCACUGCCGCCCCCCACCCCAGGCCCCCCAGCCCAGCAGGAAAGAGGCAUCUCUGUUCCAGGACUCUGGGGCAAAAGGUCACUUCCUGGGCCAGGGUAACCAUGGCAGCAGUGUGAUCGCCUCCCUUCCCCUCUCCCCCAGCAGCCUCAGACUAGCCAACUGUCUUCACAAGCUCUGAUUUUGUCCAAAUCUACAGUUUCAGGCUGUGGAAGGUCUUGCACCAGUUUCUGAGCCCCGGCCAGAUUCCCAGGUGUCCCGGGCAGUGUAGGAUCUGCCGCUUACUCAUCCCGGGGGCUUCUGUAAGCUGCUGAGCCCUCUGCUUCAGUUCCCUCAGCUACAAGGGAAGGAAGCUGAUUUUGGUGAGAAGUGAUCAAAACCGGGCUGAAGAAGCCUUAGGAUUCCACAGACCUAAGUGUACUUUUGCCAAGCCCACUACUUUGCACGUUUUUUUGUUUUGUUUUGUUUUGUUUUUUGUUGUUGUUGUUGUUUUUAAUGUCAGACAUGUUAGAGCUCUGGGUAGGAUUUUUUGCUUGAGAAAAGAAUAAAGAUUUUAGCUGAUUAAAAAAAACCA